AUUGAACGCUGGCGGCAUGCCUUACACAUGCAAGUCGAACGGCAGCGCGGGGCAACCUGGCGGCGAGUGGCGAACGGGUGAGUAAUAUAUCGGAACAUACCCUAGAGUGGGGAUAACGUAGCGAAAGUUACGCUAAUACCGCAUACGCACUAAGGUGGAAAGUGGGGGAUCUUCGGACCUCAUGCUCAUGGAGUGGCCGAUAUCUGAUUAGCUAGUUGGUGAGGUAAAGGCUCACCAAGGCGACGAUCAGUAGCUGGUUUGAGAGAACGACCAGCCACACUGGAACUGAGACACGGUCCAGACUCCUACGGAGGCAGCAGUGGGAAUUUUGGACAAUGGGGCAACCUGAUCCAGCAAUGCCGCGUGAGUGAAGAAGGCCUUCGGGUU
This 387-nucleotide ribosomal RNA is filed under the name uncultured bacterium. RNAcentral's name for it is "bacterial SSU rRNA". It matches the Rfam family "Bacterial small subunit ribosomal RNA", at positions 30 to 424 of the family's 1533-position model. The record is from RNAcentral.